This is a non-coding RNA of Ricinus communis (castor bean), 103 nucleotides long. Lineage: Eukaryota; Viridiplantae; Streptophyta; Magnoliopsida; Malpighiales; Euphorbiaceae. The record is from Rfam.
AUUCUAUAAUUGACAAUGGUAAAAGAUCCUUGAACAGCUCCUAACAGUCAUACAAGGUUUUAUUCUCUUGUUGAAGAAAACCUGCUAUAUCAUUCCUUAGCUU